UUCCAAUACUGAAUUAUCUGACAAUGGAGAAGGCCCUCUAUUUACGUUGUAACAGGAUCUUCUGUAUGUGCUUCUUCAUAACACCCGGUCCUCCCAAUGUGACUGGGAGGUGCCAGAGGGCAGGAAUGAGCCAUCCUCCCAACCAGGGCAUCUCACACGUGCCAGGUGGUCUCUGAGUGUGUGUGGAGCCAAAUUGAACUAAACGACUGUCUUGGCAACAUACAACUUUCCAAGAC
Molecule: long non-coding RNA, 236 nt
Filed under: Homo sapiens (human)
Lineage: Eukaryota; Metazoa; Chordata; Mammalia; Primates; Hominidae
Description: LHRI_LNC904.1
Source: RNAcentral